Molecule: microRNA precursor, 52 nt
Filed under: Equus caballus (horse)
Lineage: Eukaryota; Metazoa; Chordata; Mammalia; Perissodactyla; Equidae
Description: mir-1302 microRNA precursor family
Rfam family: mir-1302 microRNA precursor family
Source: Rfam by way of RNAcentral
UUUACAGUAUAAGUAUGUCUUGUGUAAUAAUUAGGACAUACUUACACUAAAA